GACGAACGCUGGCGGCGUGCCUAAUACAUGCAAGUUGAGCGCUGAAGGUUGGUACUUGUACCAACUGGAUGAGCAGCGAACGGGUGAGUAACGCGUGGGGAAUCUGCCUUUGAGCGGGGGACAACAUUUGGAAACGAAUGCUAAUACCGCAUAAAAACUUUAAACACAAGUUUUAAGUUUGAAAGAUGCCAUUGCAUCACUCAAAGAUGAUCCCGCGUUGUAUUAGCUAGUUGGUGAGGUAAAGGCUCACCAAGGCGAUGAUACAUAGCAGACCUGAGAGGGUGAGCGGCCACAUUGGGACGGAGACACGGCCCAAACUCCUACGGGAGGCAGCAGUAGGGAAUCUUCGGCAAUGGACGAAAGUCUGACCGAGCAACGCCGCGUGAGUGAAGAAGGUUUUCGGAUCGUAAAACUCUGUUGGUAGAGAAGAACGUUGGUGAGAGUGGAAAGCUCAGCAAGUGACGGUAACUACCCAGAAAGGGACGGCUAACUACGUG
RNAcentral lists this ribosomal RNA (497 nucleotides) under uncultured bacterium. RNAcentral describes it as "partial 16S ribosomal RNA". It matches the Rfam family "Bacterial small subunit ribosomal RNA", at positions 28 to 507 of the family's 1533-position model. The record is from RNAcentral.